UCAGUUCAGAUUGCAGGCUGCAACCCGCCUGCAUGAAGUCGGAAUUGCUAGUAAUCGCGGAUCAGCAUGCCGCGGUGAAUACGUUCCCGGGCCUUGUACACACCGCCCGUCACACCAUGGGAGCCGGUAAUACCCGAAGUCAGUAGUCCAACCUCGUGAGGACGCUGCCGAAGGUAGGAUUGGCGACUGGGGUGAAGUCGUAACAAGGUAUC
RNAcentral lists this ribosomal RNA (212 nucleotides) under uncultured bacterium. RNAcentral describes it as "partial 16S ribosomal RNA". It matches the Rfam family "Bacterial small subunit ribosomal RNA", at positions 1288 to 1500 of the family's 1533-position model. The record is from RNAcentral.